Molecule: ribosomal RNA, 433 nt
Filed under: uncultured bacterium
Lineage: Bacteria
Description: partial 16S ribosomal RNA
Rfam family: Bacterial small subunit ribosomal RNA
Source: RNAcentral
AGCGAACGCUGGCGGCAGGCCUAACACAUGCAAGUCGAACGAACUCUUCGGAGUUAGUGGCGGACGGGUGAGUAACACGUGGGAACGUGCCUUUAGGUUCGGAAUAACUCAGGGAAACUUGUGCUAAUACCGAAUGUGCCCUUCGGGGGAAAGAUUUAUCGCCUUUAGAGCGGCCCGCGUCUGAUUAGCUAGUUGGUGAGGUAAAGGCUCACCAAGGGGACGAUCAGUAGCUGGGCUGAGAGGAUGGUCAGCCACAUUGGGACUGAGACACGGCCCAAAAUCCUACGGGAGGCAGCAGUGGGGAAUCUUGCGCAAUGGGCGAAAGGCUGACGCAGCCAUGCCGCGUGAAUGAUGAAGGUCUUAGGAUUGUAAAAUUCUUUCACCGGGGACGAUAAUGACGGUACCCGGAGAAGAAGCCCCGGCUAACUUCGUG